RNAcentral lists this ribosomal RNA (254 nucleotides) under uncultured bacterium. RNAcentral's name for it is "partial 16S ribosomal RNA". It matches the Rfam family "Bacterial small subunit ribosomal RNA", at positions 524 to 776 of the family's 1533-position model. The record is from RNAcentral.
UACGUAGGGGGGCAAGCGUUAUCCGGAAUCAUUGGGCGUAAAGCGCGUGUAGGCGGUUCCGUAAGUCCGCUCUGAAAGCCCAGGGCUCAACCCUGGGAGGCGGGUGGAUACUACGGAACUGGAGUACGGAAGAGGAGAUUGGAAUUCCUGGUGUAGCGGUGAAAUGCGCAGAUAUCAGGAGGAACACCAGAGCGAAGGCAGGAUCUCUGGGCCAUUACUGACACUGAGAAGCGAAAGCAUGGGGAGCGAACAGG